Salvelinus sp. IW2-2015 is the source of this 341-nucleotide non-coding RNA. The record is from RefSeq and is a predicted model, not a curated record. NCBI's taxonomy places the organism in Eukaryota, Metazoa, Chordata, Actinopteri, Salmoniformes, Salmonidae.
CCGGGGCUAGAUGCUGGCACUCCUCUGACCAAUAGCAGGGCCCGGUGGUGAUGUCAUGGGGUAGGAGAGGGUCUGUGCUGAUGCUGCCGCUAGUUCUGUAUCCAAGGAGCAAGACAGAGAGAGAGACAGUCUGAUAACCCGGACCUACCCCACCACCCCCAUCCACCGUCAUCAACUCAGCCCCUGCUCCGGAGGAGGGGAAGAAAGAAUAAGCCUCUCCUGAACACAACACAGAAACCACAUCAAGGAGGAACAGCAUUGAGCAGAAUUGACCUGAGCUCAACACAGUGAAAUCAUGACCCUAGCAGCGUACAGACGAGAAGGUAGAAAGGAGCUCGCCC